UACGUAGGGUGCGAGCGUUGUCCGGAAUUAUUGGGCGUAAAGAGCUUGUAGGCGGUUUGUCGCGUCUGCUGUGAAAAUCCGGGGCUCAACCCCGGACUUGCAGUGGGUACGGGCAGACUAGAGUGUGGUAGGGGAGACUGGAAUUCCUGGUGUAGCGGUGAAAUGCGCAGAUAUCAGGAGGAACACCGAUGGCGAAGGCAGGUCUCUGGACAUUUCCUGACGCUGAGGCACGAAAGCCAGGGGAGCAAACGGG
RNAcentral lists this ribosomal RNA (253 nucleotides) under uncultured bacterium. RNAcentral's name for it is "partial 16S ribosomal RNA". It matches the Rfam family "Bacterial small subunit ribosomal RNA", at positions 524 to 776 of the family's 1533-position model. The record is from RNAcentral.